UUUUAGUGGCGGACGGGUGAGUAACGCGUGGGUAACCUGCCUCACACUGGGGGAUAACACUUAGAAAUAGGUGCUAAUACCGCAUAAGCGCACGGGACUGCAUGGUCUUGUGUGAAAAACUCCGGUGGUGUGAGAUGGACCCGCGUCUGAUUAGCUGUUGGCGGGGUAACGGCCCACCAAGGCGACGAUCAGUAGCCGGCCUGAGAGGGUGGACGGCCACAUUGGGACUGAGACACGGCCCAAACUCCUACGGAAGGCAGCAG
Molecule: ribosomal RNA, 263 nt
Filed under: uncultured bacterium
Lineage: Bacteria
Description: partial 16S ribosomal RNA
Rfam family: Bacterial small subunit ribosomal RNA
Source: RNAcentral